Molecule: unclassified non-coding RNA, 386 nt
Filed under: uncultured Phycisphaeraceae bacterium
Lineage: Bacteria; Pseudomonadati; Planctomycetota; Phycisphaerae; Phycisphaerales; Phycisphaeraceae
Description: contains 16S-23S intergenic spacer region
Source: RNAcentral
UCCGGUUUGACACCGGCAGUCUCGUUAGAGUCCUCGCCAUGACGCGUUAGCAACUAACGACAGGGGUUGCGCUCGUUAAGGGACUUAACCCGACACUUCACAGCACGAGCUGACGACAGCCAUGCAGCACCUGUGCACGUUCCACCCUUGCGGGCGUGGCCCUGCUUUCACAGGGUUAAUCCGUGCAUGUCAAACCCAGGAUAAGGUUCUUCGCGUUGCUUCGAAUUAAGCCACAUGCUCCACCGCUUGUGUGAGCCCCCGUCAAUUCCUUUGAGUUUUAGCCUUGCGACCGUACUCCCCAGGCGGUGUACUAACCACUUUCGCUUCGAUCGAGGAAGUGUCAGAACUCCCACGACCUAGUACACAUCGUUUAGGGCGUGGACUAC